This 1150-nucleotide long non-coding RNA is filed under the name Anas platyrhynchos platyrhynchos (common mallard). RNAcentral describes it as "lncRNA (ENSAPLG00000016604.1)". The record is from RNAcentral. Lineage: Eukaryota; Metazoa; Chordata; Aves; Anseriformes; Anatidae.
CCAGAUUGACCAAAUGGAAAGCUUGAGGGUGAAAAUGGUUUCUAUGGGGCCUAAAAUGUUACAGGUGUAUUGAUUAUGUACUUGCAUGGAGAUCUUUAUCCUGAAUGUGCUGGUGGCACUUAUUGUACCUGUACUGCAGCCACUUGGGGAGGUCAAACACAUCUCCUUCUUAACACACUGUGGAUUUGAAGGGAAGGCUGGUAUGAAGGCAUGCAUUGAAAAUGCAUGAUUGUUGGAGAGUAGCUUGAGCAUAGUGAUGGCUGUGAAGGAGUCAUUCCUGGAUCUGAUCCUCAGCCAGUGGAAAGGUCACCAAGUUGAAUAAGGCUGCCGUGGGCUUGCUGGAAUUUGGCCCAGAUUUAAUGCUUUAUUUCAGGCCCAGGGUAAUGGGCUCUCAUAGGUAGGAGCAAAACUAAAAGCUAAAACUAGGUGGGGGAAUUUCGGUUGGUUCAAAACUAUUUAUGGAUGGAGGUGAAAGCAAACAAAGGAAGUGGAGUGAAACAAGAAAAGCAACUGGGAGGCUGUAACACACACAACAGUUUAAGAGCACUUGAAGCCAUGGAGAGAUAAUUCUAGGGAGUAAACUCUGAGGCAGGAAAAACAAACCCUACAGCCCAGGUAAAGCCAACACCUGGAUUCCUUUAAAACACUCAGACAAGAUCAGCAGCGGAAGAUAUUACCAGCGGUGUGCCAGGAUGGAGUGAUUUGGUCCGGAGAUGAAGAAGGAGGUGUGGAGUACAUGACCAUUGCCACCAAGACUGGUGCUGUCCAGCCGUUGGGAGGACGUCUGAGAUGUCAGGAAUCUGGUUGCCUUCAUCUUCCUUCUCACCCUGUGACACUGAAGCUCCUGCAGUUUCCUGCAAGCUGCUCUUUCUGCUUCAUCUUUCUCUUCCAUAGGAGGGAAAGGGUUUUUUCUUGCUGCGAGGAGGUUUCAAGAGUUGAUGUCUCUGAAGACUUCAGUGGAAAGCUCUUGGCAUUUUCAAUACAGCUUCAUCGUGGUGCUGAAGUGAGCAAAAAGGUUUCUGCAGAGGAUGUUGUGUGUGACAUCUGCUGCUUAGACUUCGAGGCAUUUACGGAGAUGAAAUGUGCCUUCUCGCGUCUCAUCAUACUGAUACCUCUUCAACUUUUGCUCCCUGGGUUGGCCUGCUCAUGA